CCUACGGGAGGCAGCAGUGGGGAAUAUUGCACAAUGGGCGCAAGCCUGAUGCAGCCAUGCCACGUGUAUGAAGAAGGCCUUCGGGUUGUAAAGUACUUUCAGCGGGGAGGAAGGCGUUGAGGUUAGUAACCUCAGCAAUUGACGUUACCCGCAGAAGAAGCACCGGCUAACUCCGUGCCAGCAGCCGCGGUAAUACGGAGGGUGCAAGCGUUAAUCGGAAUUACUGGGCGUAAAGCGCACGCAGGCGGUCUGUCAAGUCGGAUGUGAAAGCCCCGGGCUCAACCUGGGAACUGCAUUCGAAACUGGCAGGCUAGAGUCUUGUAGAGGGGGGUAGAAUUCCAGGUGUAGCGGUGAAAUGCGUAGAGAUCUGGAGGAAUACCGGUGGCGAAGGCGGCCCCCUGGACAAAGACUGACGCUCAGGUGCGAAAGCGUGGGGAGCAAACAGGAUUAGAUACCCUCGUAGUC
This 465-nucleotide ribosomal RNA is filed under the name uncultured bacterium. Its description in RNAcentral is "bacterial SSU rRNA". It matches the Rfam family "Bacterial small subunit ribosomal RNA", at positions 338 to 795 of the family's 1533-position model. The record is from RNAcentral.